RNA transcript from Zea mays, 1218 nucleotides. RefSeq lists it as uncharacterized. The transcript has 2 exons. Lineage: Eukaryota; Viridiplantae; Streptophyta; Magnoliopsida; Poales; Poaceae. The record is from RefSeq and is marked validated.
GCUUCUAACGUACGCAGCCUGCUCGUCUUCCACCUCCGGCCAACUUCCUCCCUCUACCGCGCUUCCCUCCCCACAACAGCAGACCACCGGCGCUCCCUGUUCUUCUUCCCCGUGGGCGCGCCCCCUUCAUCCAGGCAGCAGACGACGCACGCACGCCAGGAACGCCCGAGCUCUCCAUCUCUAAUCCAGCGCUCAAGGUUCCACUCCCUCUCUCCUCCAAGCGUGUGGUGUCUUCCCUGCUCCUCCAUGGUGCCCAGAUCCGGCGCGCGCCCCUGCAAAUCUUCACUAGCACACCGGGCUCCUCCCUCCUUGGUGCUCGGCCUCCAUGGAUGCACAUCACCUCCUCCCAUGGACGCCAGCAGCAGGAGCUCCUACUCCCAGGGCGCCUCUCCCCCAUCCAUGGCGUCCGACCCCCUCUCCUUUCUCCUCCCUGCUCGGAGCUCUGCUACGGCACACGCAAAUCCCUCCCCUUUUUGUGCAGCUCACCAUCCCCAGUAGCCGCAAUGUCUCCCUCUGCACCUGUCCGAUUCCAUGGAGGACGACUUCCCCAUGGGCAGGAACUCGACGCCGCCUCCCCAAGUGCAGCCAUGGCUGAGCUUUCCCUUCCCCUGCUCGGGACAAGCCCCUCCCUGCUCCAUUUUUUUCUCUCUCUGCUCUCGGCCGCUAGCAACCAGGGCAUUGGCCCCUGCUCCCUACUACUUCUCCUCUCAGCUUCCUCUCUGCAGUAGAGAGCGCAGGAAUAUGCUCGGCGCUUUAGCGCCCAGCCUUCUGUAGGAGCAGCGCACUCCUCUUCUGAAGCACCUCGCUGGCGCCCUCAUCGUCCAUCGACAACAUCCCAUGGCGCUGCUGUCCCCAUGGUCUCCCUGUUGCGAGAGUUGCCUCGUCGCACUCGUCGUCGGGCUCGAAUCGGGUGUGCGCAUUCCAUCCGCGACAGCGUCGACCCCCGCGGCGGCCUUGUACUCGCGUUGCUCCCCGAGCCGAGACCUUGCACGCAGCAGCAAGUCCCGGAUCCCCUCCGAAUCGCGUGCUUCGCUGGAUCUGUGCAGCCCCAGCUGCUACGACGUCAAAUACUGCUAGAUGUUGUCGCGGCGCCUCGCGCGACGCAUGGUUCGAUGAAGCGCCUAAACCGUGGACGCAUGCGCAACUCGAAUCCGAGUUUGACAGGUUGAUGGAUUUAUGAUUUACUAUUGAUGUGAUUCGAUUGAUGGCAUGCAUACA